Non-coding RNA from Potamilus streckersoni, 72 nucleotides. The record is from the annotation of a GenBank genome assembly. Lineage: Eukaryota; Metazoa; Mollusca; Bivalvia; Unionida; Unionidae.
UCUUAUGGCCUAGUCUUUUGAGCAUCCGCCUCAGAUGCAGGAGGUCGUGGGUUCAAUCCCCGGCUGAGUCAU